UACGUAGGGUGCAAGCGUUGUCCGGAAUUAUUGGGCGUAAAGAGCUCGUAGGCGGUCUGUCGCGUCUGCUGUGAAAACUCGGGGCUUAACCCCGGGCCUGCAGUGGGUACGGGCAGACUAGAGUGCGGUAGGGGAGACUGGAAUUCCUGGUGUAGCGGUGGAAAUGCGCAGAUAUCAGGAGGAACACCGAUGGCGAAGGCAGGUCUCUGGGCA
RNAcentral lists this ribosomal RNA (213 nucleotides) under uncultured bacterium. RNAcentral's name for it is "partial 16S ribosomal RNA". It matches the Rfam family "Bacterial small subunit ribosomal RNA", at positions 524 to 735 of the family's 1533-position model. The record is from RNAcentral.